CUGGUACUUGAUGAAUACAGUAAUCGUGCCACACGGUUACGGGAGUGACGUUCCGGAAUUAUUGGGCGUAAAGCGUCCGCAGCGGUCUUGUAAGUCUGUCGUUAAAGCGUGGACUUAUCCAUUUGACAUGGAAACUGCAAACUAAUGUGGUAGGGCAAGGAAUCCCGGUGUACGGUGAAAUGCUAAUUCGGGAAGAACACAGUGGCGAAGGCGCUCUGCUGGGCCAUAACUGACGCUCAUGGACGAAAGCCAGGGGAGCGAAAGGGAUUAGAUACCCCUGUAGUCCUGGCCGUAAACGAUGAACACUAGGUGUCGGGGGAAUCGAACCCCUCGGUGUCGUAGCCAACGCGUUAAGUGUUCCGCCUGGGGAGUACGCACGCAAGUGUGAAAUCAAGGAAUG
RNAcentral lists this ribosomal RNA (400 nucleotides) under uncultured bacterium. Its description in RNAcentral is "bacterial SSU rRNA". It matches the Rfam family "Bacterial small subunit ribosomal RNA", at positions 472 to 911 of the family's 1533-position model. The record is from RNAcentral.